CUCUUACAAGCAUUUUAUACUUAUAGUCCUCAAAAUUGCUCUCAACCAAAACCCUAAACUCCAACAUUCAAGUUCAAGAAUUCAAGCCUCUAAAUUCAAGAAUUCCAAGAAACUGAUUAAGAUUCGAAUUUCAUUUUUCUAACUACAAAAUCUAAGGUUCUGAGGUACAGCCUAGGGAUCCUGAUAAGCAGUAAAAUUCCCAGACAGAGGUGCAAAGUUCGGUUAGUGAGCCUUCUAUAUUUCAGAAGUCCUAUUCACUGUCAGAAAUUUAUCAUGAGAUUGGUUUUAGUCUACUGGGGCCUUGUCCCAGAAUUCAGAUAGUUGUUAUUUGAUCAUGUAAUAGAGAUUUUCGCAUACGAUUUCCAGAUGUUGUUAGAUGGCUUUGGGUUUCAUUUUCCAUUGUUGAAUGUAUAUCAGACUUCUCAACAUGAUUCCGUUUGGUUAUACUUUUCUGCAUUUUCCUUAAAUUAUGUAUGAAUGGUGUAUAUGAUUUCAAGUUAGAAGGGCGUACGGGCUUUCAUGGUUCGGGAUGCUCGUCACGGCCAGGGCCUUGGUUCGGGUCGUGACAAUGAAGUUGGAAUGUGUCGUAGUAAAUUGGUCAUAAUUCGGAGGUACUAGAUGCUUUACUCGAAAAAGAAAUAAAGAAAGAUUUCAAUAGUGAUCUGUAAAGUAAAUGAAAGAAGAAAAGGACAAUACAUUGUAGCAGAUAAGAUAACGUGGGGCCGUAGUGAAAAAAGAUUUCAAUAGCUGCCAAACAAAAGAAUUUGAUAGCUGUAGGUUCAAUAUAAACCACAAUCCAUCCACAAAUUACAAUAUUCAACAAUAACCACAAAUUAAGUCAUAAUUUCAAGUUAGGGUUUAAAGAUUCAAAUAUUCUAAGUGUCCUUCUUGAGUCCCGACAGCUUUGCAAGAAGAGGGUUAGUAAAUCUUUUGUUUCACACAUCCUUCUCAAUGUGAAAAAGCUUUUGAACUCCAUAUCGUUGAUUGAAUUCUGCGGCUGCUACAUAGAAGAUGUAACAUGAAGGGAUUAUAGAAAUUAAAGGGGUACAACCUAAGUUGCGCGGAUUCUUCACUUUGAUCCCGUACCCGUUUCGGAUUCUCCAAAAAUACACUACUUUUGGAAAAUCCGACGCUCACUUGCUGACAUUUUUGAAGAGUCCGAGCAACAUAGGGUACGACAACCACCAAAACUAUAGAAACAAAAAUGAAAGAAUGAUUUGUCUGCUGGUUCUAAAAUUAUAAAGCUGAAUACGAAAGGAUGGAAGUUUAUACACGUCAGCAAGAAAUCACAGCGAAAGCUGAUCUGAUA
This is a long non-coding RNA of Capsicum annuum, 1309 nucleotides long. RefSeq lists it as uncharacterized. The record is from RefSeq and is a predicted model, not a curated record. NCBI's taxonomy places the organism in Eukaryota, Viridiplantae, Streptophyta, Magnoliopsida, Solanales, Solanaceae. The transcript is spliced from 3 exons.